RNAcentral lists this transfer RNA (64 nucleotides) under Amynthas conformis. RNAcentral's name for it is "tRNA-Trp". The record is from RNAcentral. Lineage: Eukaryota; Metazoa; Annelida; Clitellata; Crassiclitellata; Megascolecidae.
AAGACUUUAAGUUAAGAUAAACUAAAAACCUUCAAAGUUUUAAAUAGGCAUUCCCUAAGUCUUG